This 490-nucleotide ribosomal RNA is filed under the name uncultured bacterium. RNAcentral's name for it is "partial 16S ribosomal RNA". It matches the Rfam family "Bacterial small subunit ribosomal RNA", at positions 30 to 507 of the family's 1533-position model. The record is from RNAcentral.
AUUGAACGCUGGCGGCAGGCCUAACACAUGCAAGUCGAACGGUAACAGGAAGCAGCUUGCUGCUUUGCUGACGAGUGGCGGACGGGUGAGUAAUGUCUGGGAAACUGCCCGAUGGAGGGGGAUAACUACUGGAAACGGUAGCUAAUACCGCAUAACGUCGCAAGACCAAAGAGGGGGACCUUAGGGCCUCUUGCCAUCGGCUGUGCCCAGAUGGGAUUAGCUAGUAGGUGGGGUAACGGCUCACCUAGGCGACGAUCCCUAGCUGGUCUGAGAGGAUGACCAGCCACACUGGAACUGAGACACGGUCCAGACUCCUACGGGAGGCAGCAGUGGGGAAUAUUGCACAAAGGGCGCAAGCCUGAUGCAGCCAUGCCGCGUGUAUGAAGAAGGCCUUCGGGUUGUAAAGUACUUCCAGCGGGGAGGAAGGGAGUAAAGUUAAUACCUUUGCUCAUUGACGUUACCCGCAGAAGAAGCACCGGCUAACUCCGUG